Molecule: ribosomal RNA, 253 nt
Filed under: uncultured bacterium
Lineage: Bacteria
Description: partial 16S ribosomal RNA
Rfam family: Bacterial small subunit ribosomal RNA
Source: RNAcentral
UACAGGGGGGGCAAGCGUUGUUCGGAAUUACUGGGCGUAAAGGGCCAGUAGGCGGCCAACUAAGUCCGACGUGAAAUCCCCAAGCUUAACUUGGGAACUGCGUCGGAUACUGGAUGGCUUGAAUUCGGGAGAGGGAUGCAGAAUUCCAGGUGUAGCGGUGAAAUGCGUAGAGAUCGGGAGGAACACCAGAGGCGAAGGCGGCGACCUGGACAAGUACUGACACUCAACUACGAAAGCGUGGGGAGCAAACAGG